This 182-nucleotide ribosomal RNA is filed under the name uncultured bacterium. RNAcentral describes it as "partial 16S ribosomal RNA". It matches the Rfam family "Bacterial small subunit ribosomal RNA", at positions 524 to 709 of the family's 1533-position model. The record is from RNAcentral.
UACGGAGGGUGCGAGCGUUAAUCGGAAUUACUGGGCGUAAAGCGCACGCAGGCGGUUUGUUAAGCAAGAUGUGAAAGCCCCCGGGCUCAACCUGGGAACUGCAUUUUGAACUGGCAGACUAGAUCUUGGAGAGGGGGGGUGGAAUUCCAGGUGUAGCGGUGAAAUGCGUAGAAUGAGACUGA